This is a long non-coding RNA of Apodemus sylvaticus (European woodmouse), 726 nucleotides long. RefSeq lists it as uncharacterized. The transcript has 3 exons. NCBI's taxonomy places the organism in Eukaryota, Metazoa, Chordata, Mammalia, Rodentia, Muridae. The record is from RefSeq and is a predicted model, not a curated record.
UGAGGGUUGAGGUGUGAGCUCAGCUGUUCCUGGCAUCGCAUCUUCCUUCCACCGUCGCACACUCCAACCUUGGGAACUCUUCCAUCCACAGCCGUUAUGUCUGCUGCCCAAUGCCUCCAACAUCGCAGACCCUGACCCUCUGGAAUCUUGGCUCCAAACAAACUCCUCCUUCUACAGGCAGAGCCAAGAACACUUCCUGGUGUUCCUGCUGGUCCCUCCUGCUGACCCGACUCUGCCGAACAGGACUGCUGCUGUAUUCAUGAAGUGCUUGCUGGUGGAUCGAGCUGCCACAGCCUGCUGGCCUAUGAACUGAACUGCAGAUUUCCUGACAAUGCAAACCGGAGUUGCUCCAAAGAACCUUUCUAAACAGGUCCAACUCCCCCACCUCCACCCCCCACCCUACCCCCACCAGUCUCCUUUCUUUUCCACUACCUCUGGUGGGUGGUAGGCUACAAGGGAGGUUAAAGCAUUUAAGAACCAUCAUUAAAACUAGGAUUUUAAAAAAUUACAGUUUUGUUCCCACCUCCCACAUGCCAGCUCACAAUCACCUGUAUCGCUGGGUCCAGGGAACCCAGUGUCCUUUUCUGGUUUCUGCAGGCAUCAGGCACACACAUGCAGACUCACACAGGCACACCUUCCAAUAAGACACUCAUACACAUACAAUAAAUACAUAGAAAGGCAUAAUGACUUAGGCAACUGGGAAAACUGUGUACUCACUGAUUAUUA